This 200-nucleotide long non-coding RNA is filed under the name Spirodela polyrhiza (greater duckweed). RNAcentral's name for it is "long non-coding RNA (SPOL_LNC001712)". Lineage: Eukaryota; Viridiplantae; Streptophyta; Magnoliopsida; Alismatales; Araceae. The record is from RNAcentral.
AAAAUAAUAACAUUAUUCAAACUUAUUUUUUGUUUUCUUCACUGUAGGGAAAUGAAUGAUUAUUGAAUGUAUUGUUGUUUCAACUAGUCAACGAAGACCUCAUAGAAUAUAAAACCCAUUCUAGAAAAGUUGAUCAUUUCAAACCAUUUUUUUAUUUGAAAGAAAUCUGGUUAAAAGGCCUAUCCUAUUUUCUAUGGCAC